RNAcentral lists this ribosomal RNA (380 nucleotides) under uncultured Corynebacterium sp. RNAcentral describes it as "bacterial SSU rRNA". It matches the Rfam family "Bacterial small subunit ribosomal RNA", at positions 524 to 902 of the family's 1533-position model. The record is from RNAcentral. Lineage: Bacteria; Bacillati; Actinomycetota; Actinomycetes; Mycobacteriales; Corynebacteriaceae.
UACGUAGGGGGCAAGCGUUGUCCGGAUUUAUUGGGCGUAAAGGGUGCGUAGGCGGCCAUUUAAGUCAGAUGUGAAAGAUCACGGCUCAACCGUGGUAAGCAUUUGAAACUGAAAGGCUUGAGUUAAGGAGAGGAAAGUGGAAUUCCUGGUGUAGCGGUGAAAUGCGCAGAUAUCAGGAGGAACACCGAUGGCGAAGGCAGGUUACUGGGCAGUUACUGACGCUGAGGAGCGAAAGCAUGGGUAGCGAACAGGAUUAGAUACCCUGGUAGUCCAUGCCGUAAACGGUGGGCGCUAGGUGUGAGGGUCCUUCUACGACUUUCGUGCCGUAGCUAACGCAUUAAGCGCCCCGCCUGGGGAGUACGGCCGCAAGGCUAAAACUC